GAUGAACGCUGGCGGCGUGCCUAAUACAUGCAAGUCGAGCGAACAGACGAGGAGCUUGCUCCUCUGACGUUAGCGGCGGACGGGUGAGUAACACGUGGAUAACCUACCUAUAAGACUGGGAUAACUUCGGGAAACCGGAGCUAAUACCGGAUAAUAUAUUGAACCGCAUGGUUCAAUAGUGAAAGACGGUUUUGCUGUCACUUAUAGAUGGAUCCGCGCCGCAUUAGCUAGUUGGUAAGGUAACGGCUUACCAAGGCAGCGAUGCGUAGCCGACCUGAGAGGGUGAUCGGCCACACUGGAACUGAGACACGGUCCAGACUCCUACGGGAGGCAGCAGUAGGGAAUCUUCCGCAAUGGGCGAAAGCCUGACGGAGCAACGCCGCGUGAGUGAUGAAGGUCUUCGGAUCGUAAAACUCUGUUAUUAGGGAAGAACAAAUGUGUAAGUAACUAUGCACGUCUUGACGGUACCUAAUCAGAAAGCCACGGCCAACUACGUG
RNAcentral lists this ribosomal RNA (497 nucleotides) under uncultured bacterium. Its description in RNAcentral is "partial 16S ribosomal RNA". It matches the Rfam family "Bacterial small subunit ribosomal RNA", at positions 28 to 507 of the family's 1533-position model. The record is from RNAcentral.